AUGUACCACUCGUACACUCCGGUUCCUGCGCGCCGUCCGCGCCCACCUGACGGCUGCUCGCUACGUUUCGUUAGCC
This 76-nucleotide small RNA is filed under the name Xanthomonas prunicola. RNAcentral's name for it is "sX9 sRNA". It matches the Rfam family "Xanthomonas sRNA sX9". Lineage: Bacteria; Pseudomonadati; Pseudomonadota; Gammaproteobacteria; Lysobacterales; Lysobacteraceae. The record is from RNAcentral.